GCGUGCCUAACACAUGCAAGUCGAACGGAGCACUUCGGUGCUUAGUGGCGAACGGGUGAGUAACGCGUGAGAAACCUGCCUUUCAGUGGGGGACAACAGUUGGAAACGACUGCUAAUACCGCAUAAUGUUAUUUGGGGGCAUCCCCGGAUAACCAAAGCUUUAUGUGCUGAAAGAUGGUCUCGCGUCUGAUUAGCUAGAUGGCGGGGUAACGGCCCACCAUGGCGACGAUCAGUAGCCGGUCUGAGAGGAUGAACGGCCACAUUGGGACUGAGAUACGGCCCAGACUCCUACGGGAGGCAGCAGUGGGGAAUAUUGGGCAAUGGGGGAAACCCUGACCCAGCAACGCCGCGUGAAGGAAGAAGGCCUUCGGGUUGUAAACUUCUUUUACCAGGGACGAAGAAAGUGACGGUACCUGGAGAAAAAGCAACGGCUAACUACGUGCCAGCAGCCGCGGUAAUACGUAGGUUGCGAGCGUUGUCCGGAUUUACUGGGUGUAAAGGGCGUGUAGGCGGAGAUGCAAGUUGGGAGUGAAAUCCCGGGGCUCAACCCCGGAACUGCUCUCAAAACUGUAUCCCUUGAGUGUCGGAGAGGCAAGCGGAAUUCCUAGUGUAGCGGUGAAAUGCGUAGAUAUUAGGAGGAACACCAGUGGCGAAGGCGGCUUGCUGGACGAUAACUGACGCUGAGGCGCGAAAGCGUGGGGAGCAAACAGGAUUAGAUACCCUGGUAGUCCACGCUGUAAACGAUGAAUACUAGGUGUGGGAGGACUGACCCCUUCGUGCCGCAGUUACACAUUAGUAUUCACCUGGGGAGUCCACCGCAGGUUGAACUCAAGGAUUGACGGGGCCCGACAGCAUGAUAUGUGUUUAU
This 868-nucleotide ribosomal RNA is filed under the name uncultured rumen bacterium. Its description in RNAcentral is "bacterial SSU rRNA". It matches the Rfam family "Bacterial small subunit ribosomal RNA", at positions 42 to 950 of the family's 1533-position model. The record is from RNAcentral.